UACGAAGGGGGCUAGCGUUGCUCGGAAUCACUGGGCGUAAAGCGCACGUAGGCGGCUUGUUAAGUCAGGGGUGAAAUCCUGGAGCUCAACUCCAGAACUGCCUUUGAUACUGGCGAGCUUGAGUCCGGGAGAGGUGAGUGGAACUGCGAGUGUAGAGGUGAAAUUCGUAGAUAUUCGGAAGAACACCAGUGGCGAAGGCGACUUACUGGACACAUAUUGACGCUGAGGUGCGAAAGCGUGGGGAGCAAACAGG
RNAcentral lists this ribosomal RNA (253 nucleotides) under uncultured bacterium. RNAcentral's name for it is "partial 16S ribosomal RNA". It matches the Rfam family "Bacterial small subunit ribosomal RNA", at positions 524 to 776 of the family's 1533-position model. The record is from RNAcentral.